This 460-nucleotide ribosomal RNA is filed under the name uncultured bacterium. RNAcentral's name for it is "partial 16S ribosomal RNA". It matches the Rfam family "Bacterial small subunit ribosomal RNA", at positions 338 to 795 of the family's 1533-position model. The record is from RNAcentral.
CCUACGGGAGGCAGCAGUGAGGAAUAUUGGUCAAUGGACGAGAGUCUGAACCAGCCAAGUAGCGUGAAGGAUGACUGCCCUAUGGGUUGUAAACUUCUUUUAUAAAGGAAUAAAACGAGGCACGUGUGCCUUUUUGCAUGUACUUUAUGCAUAAGGAUCGGCUAACUCCGUGCCAGCAGCCGCGGUAAUACGGAGGAUCCGAGCGUUAUCUGGAUUUAUUGGGUUUAAAGGGAGCGUAGAUGGGUUGUUAAGUCAGUUGUGAAAGUUUGCGGCUCAACCGUAAAAUUGCAAUUGAUACUGGCAGUCGUGAGUACAGUUGAGGUAAGCGGAAUUCGUGGUGUAGCGGUGAAAUGCUUAGAUAUCACGAAGAACCCCGAUUGCGAAGGCAGCUUACUAAACUGUGACUGACAUUGAUGCUCGAAAGUGUGGGUAUCAAACAGGAUUAGAUACCCGAGUAGUC